RNAcentral lists this ribosomal RNA (804 nucleotides) under uncultured organism. RNAcentral describes it as "bacterial SSU rRNA". It matches the Rfam family "Bacterial small subunit ribosomal RNA", at positions 698 to 1501 of the family's 1533-position model. The record is from RNAcentral.
CUGGAGGAACACCAACGGCGAAAGGCAGCUCACUGGACAAUGACUGACGCUGAGGGACGAAAGCGUGGGGAGCGAAAGGGAUUAGAUACCCCUGUAGUCACGCCGUAAACUUUGUGCACUCGCUAUUGGGGGAUUCGACCCCGUCAGUGGCCAAGCUAACGCGAUAAGUGCACCGCCUGAGGACUACGGCCGCAAGGCUAAAACUCAAAGGAAUUGACGGGUCCCCGCACAAGCGGUGGAGCAUGUGGCUUAAUUCGAUGCAACGCGAAGAACCUUACCAGGUCUUGACAUGUAGCGGACCGGGGCAGAGAUGCCCCUUCUCUUCGGAGCCGCUUCACAGGUGCUGCAUGGCUGUCGUCAGCUCGUGUCGUGAGAUGUUCGGUUAAGUCCGUCAACGAGCGCAACCCCUGUCCUUAGUUGCCAGCAUUCAGUUGGGGACUCUAAGGAGACAAUCCCGCUUUUGCGGGAGGGAAGGUGGGGAUGAUGUCAAGUCAGUAUGGCCCUUACGGCCUGGGCUGCACACGUGCUACAAUGCCCGGUACAAUAGGUCGCUACUCCGCGAGGAGAUGCUAAUCCAGAAAGCCGGGCCCAGUUCGGAUUGGAGUCUGCAACUCGACUCCAUGAAGUCGGAAUCGCUAGUAAUGGCGCAUCAGCAAUGGCGCCGUGAAUACGUUCCCGGGGAUUGUACACACCGCCCGUCACAUCAUGAAAGCCGGUUUCGCCCGAAGUACGUGCGCCAACCUUCGUGGAGGCAGCGUCCCACGGUGAGGCUGGUGAUUGGGAUGAAGUCGUAACAAGGUAACC